Molecule: ribosomal RNA, 254 nt
Filed under: Glaesserella parasuis
Lineage: Bacteria; Pseudomonadati; Pseudomonadota; Gammaproteobacteria; Pasteurellales; Pasteurellaceae
Description: partial 23S ribosomal RNA
Rfam family: Bacterial large subunit ribosomal RNA
Source: RNAcentral
AGUUAAGUGACUAAGCGUACACGGUGGAUGCCUAGGCAAUCAGAGGCGAAGAAGGACGUGCUAAUCUGCGAAAAGCUUGGAUGAGUCGAUAAGAGGCGUUUAAUCCAAGAUAUCCGAAUGGGGAAACCCAGUAGAUGAAGAAUCUACUAUCACUUGUUGAAUACAUAGGCAAGUGAAGCAAACCGGGAGAACUGAAACAUCUAAGUACCCCGAGGAAAAGAAAUCAACCGAGAUUUUGUAAGUAGCGGCGAGCG